AGGCAAACAGAGUUAAAUGGCUUGUCCAGGCUCACAUAGUCUUGGGUCAGAUUUUAACUAAGGCAGAUGAGUCUUCCUGAUUCCAGAACUGAAGGAAGGAAGUCUCAGUGGAGCUUCCAAGGACCAUGGAGGAAUUUGUUCACUCUUCAUCUUGCUGUCCUGCUGCCCGGAGUCUGCUUUUAUUCAUAGCCCUCCAAAAGGACCCAUAAUUGCUGCUAGUUCUCCCCUCUCAAGCUCCAAAGCCUUGACUUUUAUUGACGUACAGCACAUGGAGGGAUGCAAACCUGGCACAACUGUGUGAUAUCAGGAAUGUUUGAUGGACAGGUCAAGCUAUUCAGGAGGGGGAGGGGAUGAACUUCCUUGACACCACAAAGCAAUGACAUUUACCCA
RNAcentral lists this long non-coding RNA (390 nucleotides) under Monodelphis domestica (gray short-tailed opossum). RNAcentral's name for it is "lncRNA (ENSMODG00000050968.1)". Lineage: Eukaryota; Metazoa; Chordata; Mammalia; Didelphimorphia; Didelphidae. The record is from RNAcentral.